GCCCGGCUAGCUCAAUCGGUAGAGCGUGAGACUCUUAAGUUCCCCAGAGUUCACACAUCUCAAGGUUGUGGGUUCGACCCCCACGUCGGGCU
Non-coding RNA from Parathielavia hyrcaniae, 92 nucleotides. NCBI's taxonomy places the organism in Eukaryota, Fungi, Ascomycota, Sordariomycetes, Sordariales, Chaetomiaceae. The record is from the annotation of a GenBank genome assembly.